GGGACCAUAGCUCAACUGGCUAGAGCGCCUGCCUUGCAAGCAGGAGGUUAGGGGUAUUGCCUGCGGCAACGCUUCGCGAACGAUUCCCCUUGGCUCCA
RNAcentral lists this transfer RNA (98 nucleotides) under Leptolyngbya sp. 'hensonii'. It matches the Rfam family "tRNA". Rfam says of the family: Transfer RNA (tRNA) molecules are approximately 80 nucleotides in length. Their secondary structure includes four short double-helical elements and three loops (D, anti-codon, and T loops). The record is from Rfam by way of RNAcentral. Lineage: Bacteria; Bacillati; Cyanobacteriota; Cyanophyceae; Leptolyngbyales; Leptolyngbyaceae.